RNAcentral lists this ribosomal RNA (520 nucleotides) under uncultured Entrophospora. RNAcentral's name for it is "SSU rRNA". It matches the Rfam family "Eukaryotic small subunit ribosomal RNA", at positions 569 to 1085 of the family's 1831-position model. The record is from RNAcentral. Lineage: Eukaryota; Fungi; Glomeromycota; Glomeromycetes; Entrophosporales; Entrophosporaceae.
AGCAGCCGCGGUAAUUCCAGCUCCAAUAGCGUAUAUUAAAGUUGUUGCAGUUAAAAAGCUCGUAGUUGAAUUUCGGGAUUGACACAUCGGUCGUGCCUUAAGGGGUAUGAACUGGUGUAGUCAAUUUCUCACCUUCUGGAGAACCGCGAUGCCCUUAAUUGGGUGUCACGGGGAACCAGGACCUUUACUUUGAAAAAAUUAGAGUGUUUAAAGCAGGCAUUUUGCUUGAAUACAUUAGCAUGGAAUAAUAAAAUAGGACGGCAUGAUUCUAUUUUGUUGGUUUCUAGGAUCACCGUAAUGAUUAAUAGGGAUAGUUGGGGGCAUUAGUAUUCAAUUGUCAGAGGUGAAAUUCUUGGAUUUAUUGAAGACUAACUACUGCGAAAGCAUUUGCCAAGGAUGUUUUCAUUAAUCAAGAACGAAAGUUAGGGGAUCGAAGACGAUCAGAUACCGUCGUAGUCUUAACCAUAAACUAUGCCGACUAGGAAUCAGACGAUGUUAAUUUUUAAUGACUCGUUUUGGC